GUAGAACCCAUCUGGUUUUAUUAUAAAUGUUUAAAGCAAAAUCAAAAUUCUUUCAUAUUUCUUUAUGUAUACAGUAUUCCUGCGCAACGCACAUGCACAAAUACUAAUAUAAAUAAAAAAUAGCUUCCACUCGGAGAAAUGUAGAGUCCUUGCCUAGUUGAUGCAAGUGGUGAAGAGGCACAUUAAUUAAUAUUAAUUCUUGCAUUGGAUAUCGCUGCCCGAUGAUUUGCCUCUAUAAAACAAAAGGAACAAAUGAAUGUAUGAAUAAGACAUAAUCAUAUGGAAGGGUCCCAAUCAAUGAUACUCAAAGUAAUAAUAUAAUACUUUUAUUUGUUUUUUACGUAAACUUAUUUUUUUAGCCCGUUUUAAAAAAAUAAAUUAUUUUAAAAUUUAAUAAUAAUUUAGCUUACACUUACAACUCUACUAUUUAUAAAAAGGUUUUACAAUCACACAAAUUUUUGGGUCAUAUUUAAACUUGUUUAGGACCAUAAAUUCCAAAAAUUUUCAUUUUUUCUUAAAUUUUGUAUUCAAUCAAAUAGAUUCACAUAAAUUAAAAUGGAAUUAAGAAUUUUUACACUAUCAAUUUAUCUAAAAGAUACCUAAAUGUUACUCGACUUCUAACAAACAUAAUUCGUAAUGUUUUUAAAUUUAAAGAAAUUUUAUGCUAUAACAUAUAAUAAAAAUUCUUCACACUAUCAUCAUUAUUAGUGUAUACAAGGAGAAGCGGUCUUCUCUUUUAGAGAGAGGAGUCACGGGCAUCAGAAAAAUUUGACAAAAAUUUAAUAUAUAUAUAUANNNNNNNNNNNNNNNNNNNNNNNNNNNNNNNNNNNNNNNNNNNNNNNNNNNNNNNNNNNNNNNNNNNNNNNNNNNNNNNNNNNNNNNNNNNNNNNNNNNNNNNNNNCCCGCUUACAAAAUUUUAAUAAAUAUAUUAUUUUUUUGAAACAACUAAAAUAUAUAUAUAUAUAUAUAUAUAUAUAUAUAUAUAUAUAAUGUAAAAAUUGUAAUAGAUUACUAGUGUGGCAUUUUAUAUAUAAAAAAAAAACAGAUCUUGGCUGGAUGACAAAAUGUACUCGUGACCUUUUGAAUUUUGGGUCUAAACUCAAUAAACACCAUUAAAGGAUGUAAUAUAACAAAUGUGACUGAUCUUCUCUUAAUUAGAGAUCUAGGAUCUCAACGCUAGGUAUAAAUCCUUGGUAGGAAAUGUGUGCUUCUCCUCAAAUAGAGUCUUAAGCGAAGCGAAUUCAAAUAUAAUCGGGCUCCAACAUAACAAUAGGCUAAACCAUAAAAAGAAAGAAAGAUAAACCCAAUAAACAAACAUGCCCCAAGUGAAAUAUAAAUGAAAUACACUAGGUCUGAAUAUUUCCAACUAAUAUAGUAUAGUAAAGAACAGCUACAUCAUAUUGUCCAUUGUUCUCUUUUUGUCCCAUCAGUAUUUAAUGUUCCUGUAAUAGAUCUCGUGGCUUCUAAAAGGGCACGACUUUCGCCAAAGCUAUGUGGUGUCGUCUUCUUUUUUCAUAGUCAUAAACUUAGAGUAUAUUCAUGUGUGACAAACGAGACCGCUAAUUCUCUUUCAAUUUUCAUAUUUAAGAGAAAAAAAUGAGUAAAUGCGUUAGAUGUCAAUCGCUUUUUCAAAUUACUGGUACUGACUUAGAGUGAGAACCUAUCUUAGUCUUCCUUUUUUCUCACAUUAUAUAUUCAAAAGUAGUGUUCUUGUUUUGUCCAAAUACAAAGAGAAAUGGGGAGAGCGCCGUGUUGUGCUAAAGAGGGUUUGCGUAAAGGUCCUUGGUCUACAAAAGAAGAUUUGUUGCUUAGUAAUUAUAUUAAGGAAAAUGGUGAAGGCCAAUGGAGAAACUUGCCCAACAAAGCUGGUAUGCAAUUAUCUUUUCAUAAUUCAAUCUCACACUCUAUUCCUACGAUGCAUAUGAUUAUGUUCAGAGUCGGGUUCUGAAUUUUUGCACGAGGGGGACACAUUGUUCUAAUCGACUAAUGUCCCCUAUAAGCUUUUACUAAUAAGGGUGUCAAGUACUUUAAAUUAAUUAUUUUCAAGAUAUAUAUAUAUAUAUAUAUAUAUAUAUAUAUAUAUAUAUAUAUAUAUAUAUGCCGAAGCAUACGAGGGUACAUUGAUCCUUCGUUAUAAUAUAUAGGUCUGUCUCGGUUUAUGUUGGAAGUUAUUUUUCCAAGAAUAUUUUCCAAGUCACUUUCUAGUGUUUUGUUUUUCUAUCAAAGUAAUUAAAAUAGCACGGUCCAUUUAAUUUUUAAAUUGGUUAUUCAAAAAUUCCAGAGUAUAUCAAAUUAUUAAAAAAUAAUCAUUAUUUUGAUGCAAUAAAAAUUAAUUCAUUUUUAAAAUUGUGACUAUUUUUAAAUAACCGUCUGUAAAUUUCUCCCAUGAAAGUAGCAAAACUGUCCUCCCUCGCUUAUGCGUAGAAGUCCGUUUUCUUAAGAACAUGUUUAACUUUUAACUUCAUAUUACUUGCUAGCUAACAAUUGAAAAUUAUUAUGUAUUAAUUUUUACCACUCAAAAAUUUCAUCGCAACACUUUUAUUUAUUAUUAUUAUUAUUAUUAUUAUUAUUAUUAUUAUUAUUAUUAUUAUUAUUAUUUCCAUCAUACCCAAAAAUAUCAUGUAUAUAUGUUGCUGCUUGGUCCUAUUAACUUCUAAUGUGCUACUUUAUUCGCAUAUUCAAUAAAAUUUUUAUUUGUUAUUAUUAUUACUAUUAUUAUUAUUAUUAUUAUUAUUAUUAUUAUUAUUAUUAUUAUUAUACCCAAAAAUACCAUGUAUAUAUGUUGCUGCUUGGUCCUAUUAACUUCUAAUAUGCUACUUCACUCGCAUAUUCAAUAAAAUUUUUAUUUGGUAUCAUGUUAAAUUAUAUAAAUUACUUGCUUAAAAGCUUAAGCUGUUGAGAUGAGACGCUUGUAUUAAUUUGUUUUCCGACUAUUUUAUUCAAAUUCAGGGUUGCUUAGAUGUGGAAAAAGUUGUCGAUUAAGAUGGAUGAACUAUCUAAGGCCAGGAAUCAAAAGAGGAAAUUUCAGCCAAGAUGAAGAAGAUCUAAUAAUAAGACUUCAUUCUCUUUUGGGCAAUCGUUGGUCACUCAUAGCUGGAAGAUUACCGGGUCGAACUGACAAUGAAAUCAAGAAUUAUUGGAACACACAUCUCAUCAAGAAGCUCAAAAGUGCUGGAAUUGUGCCUAAAGUUAACAAGAUUUUCUCCAAAUAUUGUCCCAGAAAACAAGCCAAAAUAGAGAAACCAAGAAAGAAACAAGACAAGAAAUUAAAAACCAAGAAGAAAAAAGACCAACCUUUAGUACAAAAUACUAGUGACUCUCCUCAAGUUGUAUUUGUCCCCAAGCCAAUAAGAAUUAGCUCUUGUAGCAACCACAGAGUUGAAGAUGUU
RNAcentral lists this long non-coding RNA (3389 nucleotides) under Nicotiana benthamiana. RNAcentral's name for it is "long non-coding RNA (NBEN_LNC025560)". The record is from RNAcentral. Lineage: Eukaryota; Viridiplantae; Streptophyta; Magnoliopsida; Solanales; Solanaceae.